Molecule: long non-coding RNA, 214 nt
Filed under: Lathyrus oleraceus (garden pea)
Lineage: Eukaryota; Viridiplantae; Streptophyta; Magnoliopsida; Fabales; Fabaceae
Description: Pisum sativum (pea) long non-coding RNA (PSAT_LNC009783)
Source: RNAcentral
UUGCAUUUCUUUUGAAAAAUAAACAUGCUAUGAUGCACAUGAUGCAGACACGACUGGCAAGCUGUGCAUCUCUGAACACAGGAUCAAAACUUCGGCUCGAACUCUGAUCACAACCAUCUGAAACCCAAAGUCAACUGGUCAACUGUCAUCUGAACCCAAUCUGAGAAACUGAGUCACCAACAGGAACACACUGAGUCAGCAACUAGUCACCAAC